GUGGGGAAUAUUGGACAAUGGGGGGAACCCUGAUCCAGCCAUGCCGCGUGUGUGAAGAAGGCCUUUUGGUUGUAAAGCACUUUAAGCGAGGAGGAGGCUACCGAGAUUAAUACUCUUGGAUAGUGGACGUUACUCGCAGAAUAAGCACCGGCUAACUCUGUGCCAGCAGCCGCGGUAAUACAGAGGGUGCGAGCGUUAAUCGGAUUUACUGGGCGUAAAGCGUGCGUAGGCGGCUUUUUAAGUCGGAUGUGAAAUCCCCGAGCUUAACUUGGGAAUUGCAUUCGAUACUGGGAAGCUAGAGUAUGGGAGAGGAUGGUAGAAUUCCAGGUGUAGCAGUGAAAUGCGUAGAGAUCUGGAGGAAUACCGAUGGCGAAGGCAGCCAUCUGGCCUAAUACUGACGCUGAGGUACGAAAGCAUGGGGAGCAAACAGGAUUAGAUACCCGGGUAGUCC
RNAcentral lists this ribosomal RNA (451 nucleotides) under uncultured bacterium. RNAcentral's name for it is "partial 16S ribosomal RNA". It matches the Rfam family "Bacterial small subunit ribosomal RNA", at positions 354 to 796 of the family's 1533-position model. The record is from RNAcentral.